AGAACGAGCGCUGGCGGCGUACUUAACACAUGCAAGUCGGACGAGAAAGGGAGCUUCGGUUCCUGAGUAAAGUGGCGAACGGGUGCGUAACACGUAAGUAAUCUACCCUAGACACUGGGAUAACUUUCCGAAAGGGAGGCUAAUACCGGAUAGGUCCUUAGAGCAAUAGCCAUAAGGGGAAGCAGGCCUCUGUUGCAUGCUUGCAGUUUAGGAUGAGCUUGCGGCUCAUUAGCUAGUUGGUAGGGUAAAAGCCUACCAAGGCGACGAUGGGUAGCUGGUCUGAGAGGAUGAUCAGCCACACUGGCACUGAGACACGGGCCAGACUCCUACGGGAGGCAGCAGUGGGAAUUUUGCGCAAGUGGGCGAAGCCUGACGCAGUAACGCCGCGUGGAGGAUGAAGGUCCUUCGGUUGUAAACGUCCUGUUCAGGAGAACGACGGAAGUAGAAUAGAAUAAUUCUAUUACCAGACGUACCUACCAACGGACGACCCG
This 491-nucleotide ribosomal RNA is filed under the name uncultured soil bacterium. Its description in RNAcentral is "bacterial SSU rRNA". It matches the Rfam family "Bacterial small subunit ribosomal RNA", at positions 26 to 495 of the family's 1533-position model. The record is from RNAcentral.